CUGCUCUAUAAAGCCACUAGCCACAGCUGUUACGCCUGAGGGCAAAUAAAAGACAUGCUCGUGGUCGUCAGCGAAGUGGUUAGUGACUAACUUCCGCCUGGAAUUGGCUGUCAGCAUCUGUCUCGGUCUCGCCCCCCUGUCGCGCACUCGCCCUAAGUGACCCUAAGUGACCCUAAAUGACCACAAGAAACCUUCAAGACACUCGCGACUGUUAUGGCACCUCCUCUAGUGUCAAGGGUGCCGGCAGGCUGCGACAGGUUUGGCACCCUAGUUUCGGUCGGUUGGCACCACCCGGACGCCGUGAGAAG
Molecule: long non-coding RNA, 308 nt
Filed under: Penaeus japonicus
Lineage: Eukaryota; Metazoa; Arthropoda; Malacostraca; Decapoda; Penaeidae
Description: uncharacterized LOC122251912
Source: RNAcentral